RNAcentral lists this ribosomal RNA (503 nucleotides) under uncultured bacterium. RNAcentral's name for it is "partial 16S ribosomal RNA". It matches the Rfam family "Bacterial small subunit ribosomal RNA", at positions 28 to 507 of the family's 1533-position model. The record is from RNAcentral.
GACGAACGCUGGCGGCGUGCUUAACACAUGCAAGUCGAACGGUGAAGCGCUUUCCUUUUUGGUUGGUGUGGAUGAGUGGCGAACGGGUGAGUAACACGUGAGUAACCUGCCCCCUUCUUCUGGAUAACCGCAUGAAAGUGUGGCUAAUACGGGAUAUUCUGCGCCUGCUGCAUGGUGGGUGUGGGAAAGAUUGUGCCUUUGGGUGUUUUCGGUGGGGGAUGGGCUCGCGGCCUAUCAGCUUGUUGGUGGGGUGAUGGCCUACCAAGGCGGUGACGGGUAGCCGGCCGGGGAGGGUGGACGGUCACACUGGGACUGAGACACGGCCCAGACUCCUACGGGAGGCAGCAGUGGGGAAUAUUGCGCAAUGGGCGCAAGCCUGAUGCAGCGACGCCGCGUGAGGGAUGGAGGCCUUCGGGUUGUGAACCUCUUUCGCCAGUGAAGCAGGCCUGCUCCUUGUGGGUGGGUUGACGGUAGCUGGAGAAGAAGCGCCGGCUAACUACGUG